Small nucleolar RNA from Dendrobium catenatum, 107 nucleotides. NCBI's taxonomy places the organism in Eukaryota, Viridiplantae, Streptophyta, Magnoliopsida, Asparagales, Orchidaceae. The record is from RefSeq and is a predicted model, not a curated record.
AGGUCAUUGUGAGGACAAUUCCUUAACAACUCCUUAAAACAAUCCCAAGCUUCAUAAAUAUACUCCCCAUCUAACUAGGUACGACAUAUGAUGUCAUUUCUAAGCAU